AGAGCGAUUAGGUCUCUCACACAGUUGCAUUGUGCCACUCGCUCCCUCGCCUCUGCUUUCUCCAGAAAACGAGCGAUCUUGAAAAGGGGGUUUCCUCAACCACUUUCUCCCAGUCUCACUCUCUCGCUCUCUCUCUCUGAGUUUUCUCUCGUAGCCACCAGUGUCAUUUUCACAUCCAUCCUCAUUUCCGUCUCACUUCCAGCCAAACAAACCUCCAUAUUCAUCCACCAACUCAAGACAACAAUCCUCUUCUGAUUCGGUCGUGUGCUCAAGUUGACGGAGAAAGGAUAGAAUUUGCUUCUGAUUGUGAGCUGGUGUUUUAUAUACUAAUGAGCAAAGUUGGACUGGGUAAAUAGUAGGGCCACCUAAGUACGCAGCUACUUAUUCACCGGCACACUUUCUCCCUGCUCGACAUCAGUUUGAAAAUUCCAAAUUAGACAUCAGUUUUAUUACUGAACAGCUCAGGAAGCGUUAUUUAUUUAUACGUUGCUGUUUUCCCAAACUAAGUUUUCCAUGUCCAACUGUUGGUAACGAAUUAGCCCAUAAAAUCAGAUAAGUAAAUAAAACUCUUGCUCGGGAGGAUACAUAAAGUGUUACAAGUUAACAACCGUGACGAGUUCUGAAAUACAUAUAUUUUCAAACUGGCUGCUGGAGGAGGGCGCGGACAGUGGACUUUCUGUCAGUUGUGCUUUUAAAUACAGUUUAUCAUAAAGAAUGGUUGAAGUAAGGACGACUUGAUGAAGAAAGCACAGCGCAAUUAGAAACAUAAUACUGCUAAUAACGUAUAUCAAAUAUUCCGUACCACCCCCAGGCCUGUAAGAAGGAUGUAUUUCAGGUCAUAAUAAUUUAUUUUAUUCGGACGGCGAAUACGCCUCGUGAACUCUCUCUAAAAGAUUAGACCUUAUCCAUUCUGUUUUCAAACCAGCUUAGGAAACAGCCAGUGAGCUAUUCUCGUAAUUUUUAAAAAUAUCUGCUGUGCCAUCUCGAUCCUUUUGUCAUAACCAUCAAGCACUCCAUUAUUAAAUUAUGCGAGUGGCAUUCUCAACAACAACUUGAUUCCGUCGACGGAUUCAUGCGUCAGUAAAAGACCAAAGAGAGAGAGGAACUGCUUUUGUGCACGUCGAACCUUCACAAUGUUGUUCGCUAAUUGCACCAGCCCACUUGACUGUGCUCCAGAGCAGUUGUAUCCCGAAAGUUCUAAUGACACUGUUCCGGAUCCGUACAAAGUCUUCCUUGAAGAUCCCUAUUUUUGCUUGAAGGGUUGGAUUGGUCGGAACGACACGCCAUGUGAGGAUCCUUUGUACUUUUCAUACAACUAUCGCAUAGUGGGGACCCUCUUCCAGGGCAUUGUGUUUCUCGUGGGUGUCUUCGGUAACCUCAUGGUCGUCGUCGUCGUGGCCAGAACGAAGAGCAUGCAUUCUCCAACAAAUUGCUAUCUCGUGUCCCUUGCCCUUGCUGACAGCAUUGUGUUACUAGCGUCCGUACCUCAGGAGAUUGUCAGCUACUACGUAGUAGGAAACCUUUGGAUUUGGGGUGAACUGGGAUGUCGUCUUCUCAUCUUCUUACAACAUUUGGGGAUCAAUGUUUCAUCACUGAGUUUGGCUGCAUUUACUGUAGAAAGAUGGGUCGCAAUAUGUAAGCCAUUUUUCGCUCAAACAGUGUGCACUGUGAAUCGAGCAAAGAAAAUUAUUGCGGGAGUUUGGAUUUUCGCCCUGAUCUACUGCUUUCCCUGGUUGUUUCUCACACAAACUUAUCCCCUGUUUUACAAAGGAUUUGCUAACAUUGAGAGUUGCGAGUACAAAAUAGAGCGCAACCAGUACCUUGGCUAUUAUUUCACGGAUUUAGUUGUUUUCUAUGUGAUACCACUUCUACUGUCGGUCAUCUUGUACGGACUGAUUGCAAGAAUUUUGUAUCAAAGUCAAAAUGCCAAAUCAUCCCAUCAUGGAACAAACGGACCAUUGUCGGUCGACUCCUCUAAAACCAAUGCGUCACGAGUGCAGGUGGUGAAAAUGCUGUGCAUGGUGGUGAUCAUCUUUGCAAUUCUCUGGCUACCCUACCGUGGACUGCUCGUGUAUAACUCUUUCGCACAGGAGAAAUUUAUGGACCUUUGGUUUUUGAUAUUUGCAAAAACCUGUGUCUUCAUUAACAGUGCUAUAAAUCCGAUUCUGUUCAACGCGAUGAGUCUGAGAUUUCGAACGGCUUUUGGACGCGUGCUGUCGUGUGGUAAGACCCGGGACUUCUACGGUCGUUGGCCAUAUUGCCACACUCAUACAACAUUUGCCACAGCCAGCACUGCGAUGCCCUCGACGGCCACUUUAAACUGUCAGUUGGUGUCGACUCGGACCCCUCCGAGACAUUACUCCUCUCAUAACAGCCACCACACGUACAACCAAACACACCCCCCACCACACUCCAUGACUUAUCUCGAGGUUGUUGUCGAUUCUUCAGACACAGUUUAUACGUGUCCAGAGGAAGUCACGCAACUCUAAUCCACGACAACUAGCUGUAACUUCCACUCUCUCAGUCUCCACCAUUAUUUCUACACUACUUAAUCACGAAUCCUACAACAACAACAACCUGACAUCAUCAUGUUAGUUCACGCUCGUUGUUAAUUCUGUUGUUUGAUAUGACGUGUGAGUUACGGCUAGUAUUUAUUUUUUGGAGACUCUUCUGUUGGAGACUCGGAGAUCGAAGGCAGCGACCACGGAACGACUUCGUGUGAACUUGACAGUCAUGUCGGUAAAAAAGUUAUAAAAAUAGGAAUUGUUGCAUAAUUGUUGUGUAAGCAAAAAUAUUAUAUACUUUCAUGAUGUGCUACAUAAUAAACUAAAUUCUACACAAAUGUUAUACUUGAGCAUUCGAUGUGAUGUAAGUAGAACGACCCGAGAUUAUUUUGAUUAAAAUGAAUUUAUAUUAUGUGA
Molecule: RNA transcript, 2921 nt
Organism: Folsomia candida
Lineage: Eukaryota; Metazoa; Arthropoda; Collembola; Entomobryomorpha; Isotomidae
Gene name: thyrotropin-releasing hormone receptor
Exons: 10
Source: RefSeq, a predicted model, not a curated record